GCACUGCUGAGGAAUCCAAUCCUAGGACGAAACGGCCUUCCAGUGC
This 46-nucleotide non-coding RNA is filed under the name Schistosoma margrebowiei. The record is from RNAcentral. Lineage: Eukaryota; Metazoa; Platyhelminthes; Trematoda; Strigeidida; Schistosomatidae.